Molecule: ribosomal RNA, 604 nt
Filed under: Limosilactobacillus fermentum
Lineage: Bacteria; Bacillati; Bacillota; Bacilli; Lactobacillales; Lactobacillaceae
Description: bacterial SSU rRNA
Rfam family: Bacterial small subunit ribosomal RNA
Source: RNAcentral
CGCGGCGGUGUGCCUAAUACAUGCAAGUCGAACGCGUUGGCCCAAUUGAUUGAUGGUGCUUGCACCUGAUUGAUUUUGGUCGCCAACGAGUGGCGGACGGGUGAGUAACACGUAGGUAACCUGCCCAGAAGCGGGGGACAACAUUUGGAAACAGAUGCUAAUACCGCAUAACAACGUUGUUCGCAUGAACAACGCUUAAAAGAUGGCUUCUCGCUAUCACUUCUGGAUGGACCUGCGGUGCAUUAGCUUGUUGGUGGGGUAACGGCCUACCAAGGCGAUGAUGCAUAGCCGAGUUGAGAGACUGAUCGGCCACAAUGGGACUGAGACACGGCCCAUACUCCUACGGGAGGCAGCAGUAGGGAAUCUUCCACAAUGGGCGCAAGCCUGAUGGAGCAACACCGCGUGAGUGAAGAAGGGUUUCGGCUCGUAAAGCUCUGUUGUUAAAGAAGAACACGUAUGAGAGUAACUGUUCAUACGUUGACGGUAUUUAACCAGAAAGUCACGGCUAACUACGUGCCAGCAGCCGCGGUAAUACGUAGGUGGCAAGCGUUAUCCGGAUUUAUUGGGCGUAAAGAGAGUGCAGGCGGUUUUCUAAGUCUGAUGU